Molecule: transfer RNA, 76 nt
Filed under: Nanobdellota archaeon
Lineage: Archaea; Nanobdellati; Nanobdellota
Description: tRNA-Gln
Rfam family: tRNA
About the family: Transfer RNA (tRNA) molecules are approximately 80 nucleotides in length. Their secondary structure includes four short double-helical elements and three loops (D, anti-codon, and T loops).
Source: RNAcentral
AGCCCCGUGGUGUAGCGGCCAAGCAUGGGGGGCUCUGGACCCCCAGACCCAGGUUCGAAUCCUGGCGGGGCUACCA